GCUAGCUUUUAGAACAUCUAGUAUCAAGUAUCCUUGUGGAAGAGAAUUAGACAUUUGGUUCAUUAUAUCAUUUAUUUUCUUAUUUGACUUGUGUUUCAUUGUUCUUCCUCCCUCAUGUACGCCUCAUUGUCACAUCUAAGUACCGCGACAUGGAACAGCCAAGCUUUAUUCUAUCUUGAUUUUCUAAUUUCUGGUUUGCUAGUGAAAAAGACUGGGAUAAGAUGUCUCCUGCCAAGUUUGAUUCUAUAUUGGUCUUUUGAUUUUUGGUUUGCUAGCGAAAAAGACCGCGAUGAUCAUAAGCUGAGAUCUCCUG
This 313-nucleotide long non-coding RNA is filed under the name Daucus carota (carrot). RNAcentral's name for it is "long non-coding RNA (DCAR_LNC005190)". The record is from RNAcentral. Lineage: Eukaryota; Viridiplantae; Streptophyta; Magnoliopsida; Apiales; Apiaceae.